GCAGGUCGAGCGGUAACAGAAAGUACGCUUGCUACUUUGCUGACGAGCGGCGGACGGGUGAGUAAUGCUUGGGAACAUGCCUUGAGGUGGGGGACAACAGUUGGAAACGACUGCUAAUACCGCAUAAUGUCUACGGACCAAAGGGGGCUUCGGCUCUCGCCUUUAGAUUGGCCCAAGUGGGAUUAGCUAGUUGGUGAGGUAAUGGCUCACCAAGGCGACGAUCCCUAGCUGGUUUGAGAGGAUGAUCAGCCACACUGGGACUGAGACACGGCCCAGACUCCUACGGGAGGCAGCAGUGGGGAAUAUUGCACAAUGGGCGCAAGCCUGAUGCAGCCAUGCCGCGUGUGUGAAGAAGGCCUUCGGGUUGUAAAGCACUUUCAGUCAGGAGGAAAGGUUAGUAGUUAAUACCUGCUAGCUGUGACGUUACUGACAGAAGAAGCACCGGCUAACUCCGUGCCAGCAGCCGCGGUAAUACGGAGGGUGCGAGCGUUAAUCGGAAUUACUGGGCGUAAAGCGUACGCAGGCGGUUUGUUAAGCGAGAUGUGAAAGCCCCGGGCUCAACCUGGGAACUGCAUUUCGAACUGGCAAACUAGAGUGUGAUAGAGGGUGGUAGAAUUUCAGGUGUAGCGGUGAAAUGCGUAGAGAUCUGAAGGAAUACCGAUGGCGAAGGCAGCCACCUGGGUCAACACUGACGCUCAUGUACGAAAGCGUGGGGGAGCAAACAGGAUUAGAUACCCUGGUAGUCCACGCCGUAAACGAUGUCUACUAGAAGCUCGGAACCUCGGUUCUGUUUUUCAAAGCUAACGCAUUAAGUGACCGCCUGGGGAGUACGGCCGCAAGGUUAAACUCAAAUGAAUUGACGGGGCCCGCACAAGCGGUGGAGCAUGUGCUUUAUUUCGAUGCACGCGUAGAACCUAACCUACCGUGACAUACGGAGAACUUACUAGAGAAGGUUUGGUGCUUCGGGACUCCGGAACCAGAGCUGCAU
RNAcentral lists this ribosomal RNA (988 nucleotides) under Pseudoalteromonas sp. ZR1. RNAcentral's name for it is "bacterial SSU rRNA". It matches the Rfam family "Bacterial small subunit ribosomal RNA", at positions 57 to 1046 of the family's 1533-position model. The record is from RNAcentral. Lineage: Bacteria; Pseudomonadati; Pseudomonadota; Gammaproteobacteria; Alteromonadales; Pseudoalteromonadaceae.